This 506-nucleotide ribosomal RNA is filed under the name uncultured bacterium. RNAcentral describes it as "partial 16S ribosomal RNA". It matches the Rfam family "Bacterial small subunit ribosomal RNA", at positions 29 to 523 of the family's 1533-position model. The record is from RNAcentral.
AGUGAACGCUGGCGGUAGGCCUAACACAUGCAAGUCGAACGGCAGCACAGGAGAGCUUGCUCUCUGGGUGGCGAGUGGCGGACGGGUGAGGAAUACAUCGGAAUCUACUCUGUCGUGGGGGAUAACGUAGGGAAACUUACGCUAAUACCGCAUCCGACCUACGGGUGAAAGCAUGGGACCUUCCGGCCUUGCGCGAAUGAAUGAGCCGAUGGCGGAUUAACUAGUUGGCGGGGUAAAGGCCCACCAAGGCGACGAUCCGUAGCUGGUCUGAGAGGAUGAUCAGCCACACUGGAACUGAGACACGGUCCAGACUCCUACGGGAAGCAGCAGUGGGGAAUAUUGGACAAUGGGCGCAAGCCUGAUCCAGCCAUACCGCGUGGGUGAAGAAGGCCUUCGGGUUGUAAAGCCCUUUUGUUGGGAAGGAAAUCCAGCUGGCUAAUACCCGGUUGGGAUGACGGUACCCAAAGAAUAAGCACCGGCUAACUUCGUGCAAGCAGCCGCUGUAA